UACGUAGGGUGCGAGCGUUAAUCGGAAUUACUGGGCGUAAAGCGUGCGCAGGCGGUGAUGUAAGACAGUUGUGAAAUCCCCGGGCUCAACCUGGGAAUUGCAUCUGUGACUGCAUCGCUAGAGUACGGUAGAGGGGGAUGGAAUUCCCGGUGUAGCAGUGAAAUGCGUAGAGAUCGGGAGGAACAUCUGUGGCGAAGGCGACUACCUGGACCAGCACUGACACUGAGGCAUGAAAGCGUGGGGAGCAAACAGG
RNAcentral lists this ribosomal RNA (253 nucleotides) under uncultured bacterium. RNAcentral's name for it is "partial 16S ribosomal RNA". It matches the Rfam family "Bacterial small subunit ribosomal RNA", at positions 524 to 776 of the family's 1533-position model. The record is from RNAcentral.